RNAcentral lists this ribosomal RNA (549 nucleotides) under Triticum aestivum (bread wheat). RNAcentral describes it as "partial small subunit ribosomal RNA". The record is from RNAcentral. Lineage: Eukaryota; Viridiplantae; Streptophyta; Magnoliopsida; Poales; Poaceae.
AUGAGCCCAGCUAUACAAACCUCCGCUCCUCCUCCCGUCCUCGUUCACUCCGCAUCCGCAGCCGAAUUCCCCCCGUCUCCACCGCUCAGCCCCCCGGACUGCCGGACCUCGCCUCGCCUUGCCAUGGCAGCCGCAGCACUGAGAGCCCGGCUCAACGCCCACAUCUCCAGAAUGUAUGCCCAGGGCGUGGUGGAGGAGGAGACCUUCGAGCAACUGCGGGAGGACGGCACCGCCAGCGAGGUCGCCCGCCUCUUCAUCAACGACGCCUACGAGAUCCUCCACGACAUCGACAUCCGGAUGGAGGAGCCGGAAGUGGACAUUGACGAGGUGGAAGCCCUGACGCAACAGCUCAUGGAGUGCGCCUCCAGUGUUGGUGCACAGCAAGUGAAACUCGCCUGCAUGCAUUUCGGCGAUUUCUAUGCAAUAAAAUGCAAACAAGGGUGCCUUGUGUCAUUGGAUCUUGUUAGGAAUUUGUACUGUAUUGUGCGCAAUGAUGUGGAGAUCAUGAUGCAGCUGGAGGAUAUGAUCGCGGCCUGUGGUCCUAAGUAA